CUACCGGCAUCGUGAGGUGCCGGGAUGGGGCGGCAGAAGUCAGCCGAGGCCGUAGUAGGCUGCCUGACCAGCAGCUGAAGGGC
RNAcentral lists this non-coding RNA (83 nucleotides) under Alloalcanivorax venustensis. Lineage: Bacteria; Pseudomonadati; Pseudomonadota; Gammaproteobacteria; Oceanospirillales; Alcanivoracaceae. RNAcentral also lists the same sequence under 1 other name. The record is from RNAcentral.